Oryzias latipes (Japanese medaka) is the source of this 83-nucleotide non-coding RNA. NCBI's taxonomy places the organism in Eukaryota, Metazoa, Chordata, Actinopteri, Beloniformes, Adrianichthyidae. The record is from Rfam.
CUUAUGAACAAUAAUAAUUAUUUUUUCAACAUCCCCAAAUCCAGCACAGUGCGCUGGAUUUGGGGAGGUUGAAAAAAUAAAUU